GAAGAUAUUAGUGAAAUACAAGCAAAAAAACCAAAACAAAAAGAAUUGAACAAUAAUGCAACUGCACAUGGAUAUGAGUGUCCACUUUGCGAUAAAUAUCUAAAAACUUUAAGUGGGUUCCGUGGUCACACAUCGAAGCAACACGGAAGACAAGACUUAAAAGGUACAGUGUAUUUACUUUUCUUUGCAUUAUCAUAAAUACAAAUGUCAUAACCCUCGCCCUGAACGAAUGUAGGACAAAAAAGUCACAAUUCAGCUUUGAACAGGAA
RNAcentral lists this long non-coding RNA (269 nucleotides) under Mytilus galloprovincialis (Mediterranean mussel). The record is from RNAcentral. Lineage: Eukaryota; Metazoa; Mollusca; Bivalvia; Mytilida; Mytilidae.